Pan troglodytes (chimpanzee) is the source of this 1039-nucleotide long non-coding RNA. RefSeq lists it as uncharacterized. The record is from RefSeq and is a predicted model, not a curated record. The transcript is spliced from 3 exons. Lineage: Eukaryota; Metazoa; Chordata; Mammalia; Primates; Hominidae.
GAGCUGGCCGUCUGGGCGGGGUAGUUUUAAACGGAAGUUAAUUUUGUCAGCGUGGAGGCUGGUGAGUCCUGUGUGAAUGCCAGGCUCGGUAUAAUCUACAUAUGGUGAAAUGGACAGAUCUUAUAUCCAUAAGAUAUUCCUGAUGAGUUUUGGCAAAUGUGCAACCAACACCCUAAUCAAGAUCUACAGCAGCAUUGUCCCACUGAAACAUAGUGUGAGCCACACAGCAUCGUAUUAACCAGAAGCUGCAUUUACCUGGACCAUACAUCAGCCCGAGCCUGUCUCCAGUGAAGAGUUGGGUCGUGCUGGAGGGACCAUUCAUCACACCUGCCCAGCUUCUGGAGGCUCUCCUGGGCUUUGGUGUCUUAGGCCAGAGCUGUCACAAACAUCCCACAUUCACCUUGUCCCUGUGAGGGGAGGGAGCUCCAAGUACUCUCUGGCCUUGAGAAAUGGCCCCUGAUAUUCCAUUGCUUCAGCUAUGACAUCUCUGUAGCAUCACAGUCUAUGCAACUUGGAUAGAGAGAGGCUAUGGGUCACACCAUCAAAUCUGAUUGAAAUUCAUCUUCAAUCAAUCAUGUUGAUGUUGUAUCUGGAGCUGACCUGGAAGCCUGAAUAUUCCUGGUCUUAUUUACUUCUCACACCAACCCAGCUAGCCCCAUUUCAGGGAUUACAAAAUGGAGCACUGACUUGCUCAGGGUUACUUAUGCUGCAGAAAAGGUGCAGAUCGAGGGUCGGAACUUGGGUCUCUUGACUCCAACACCAGUGCUCGUGCCACAAAGCCAGCUGCCUCAGUGAGUGGCUUCCUGACUGGAUGGCUGGUUUCUCAGGGUACUGACUUGCUUUGAAUGUCCUUUCUCCCUUUGCCUCCCCAGAGGGCGGCUUAUUUCUUUAAGCUCAAGAAGAGGGAAAAGAAAAAAGGAGACGGUGAAAUAAAUUUAUUGCCAUGUUAGAAACAUUGGAUUGAAGAAUUGAUCCCUACGGCUAAGUAAUUUCCCUCUUUCGUGCAAAAUGUAAAUAAAUCUGUAUGGCUUACGCUGAA